RNAcentral lists this ribosomal RNA (564 nucleotides) under Amblyrhynchichthys truncatus. RNAcentral's name for it is "partial 16S ribosomal RNA". It matches the Rfam family "Bacterial large subunit ribosomal RNA", at positions 1810 to 2577 of the family's 2925-position model. Lineage: Eukaryota; Metazoa; Chordata; Actinopteri; Cypriniformes; Cyprinidae. The record is from RNAcentral.
AAAACAUCGCCUCCUGCAACACAACCAAGUAUAGGAGGUCCAGCCUGCCCAGUGACCACAAGUUCAACGGCCGCGGUAUUCUGACCGUGCAAAGGUAGCGCAAUCACUUGUCUUUUAAAUAGAGACCUGUAUGAAUGGCUAAACGAGGGCUUAACUGUCUCCCUUUUCCAGUCAGUGAAAUUGAUCUACCCGUGCAGAAGCGGGUAUAAUAAUACAAGACGAGAAGACCCUUUGGAGCUUAAGGUACAAAACUCAACCACGCAAAGCAACUCAAUAAAAAGCAAAAACUUCGUGGAAAAUGAAAUUUUACCUUCGGUUGGGGCGACCACGGAGGAAAAAAAAGCCUCCAAGUGGAUUGGGAUUAUCUCCUAAAACCAAGAGAAACACCUCUAAGCCACAGAACAUCUGACCAAACAUGAUCCGGCCCAUAGGCCGAUCAACGAACCAAGUUACCCUAGGGAUAACAGCGCAAUCCUCUCCCAGAGUCCAUAUCGACGAGAGGGUUUACGACCUCGAUGUUGGAUCAGGACAUCCUAAUGGUGCAGCCGCUAUUAAGGGUUCGUU